RNAcentral lists this ribosomal RNA (2657 nucleotides) under Escherichia coli. RNAcentral's name for it is "bacterial LSU rRNA". It matches the Rfam family "Bacterial large subunit ribosomal RNA". Lineage: Bacteria; Pseudomonadati; Pseudomonadota; Gammaproteobacteria; Enterobacterales; Enterobacteriaceae. The record is from RNAcentral.
ACUAUCAUUAACUGAAUCCAUAGGUUAAUGAGGCGAACCGGGGGAACUGAAACAUCUAAGUACCCCGAGGAAAAGAAAUCAACCGAGAUUCCCCCAGUAGCGGCGAGCGAACGGGGAGCAGCCCAGAGCCUGAAUCAGUGUGUGUGUUAGUGGAAGCGUCUGGAAAGGCGCGCGAUACAGGGUGACAGCCCCGUACACAAAAAUGCACAUGCUGUGAGCUCGAUGAGUAGGGCGGGACACGUGGUAUCCUGUCUGAAUAUGGGGGGACCAUCCUCCAAGGCUAAAUACUCCUGACUGACCGAUAGUGAACCAGUACCGUGAGGGAAAGGCGAAAAAGAACCCCGGCGAGGGGAGUGAAAAAGAACCUGAAACCGUGUACGUACAAGCAGUGGGAGCCUCUUUAUGGGGUGACUGCGUACCUUUUGUAUAAUGGGUCAGCGACUUAUAUUCUGUAGCAAGGUUAACCGAAUAGGGGAGCCGAAGGGAAACCGAGUCUUAACUGGGCGUUAAGUUGCAGGGUAUAGACCCGAAACCCGGUGAUCUAGCCAUGGGCAGGUUGAAGGUUGGGUAACACUAACUGGAGGACCGAACCGACUAAUGUUGAAAAAUUAGCGGAUGACUUGUGGCUGGGGGUGAAAGGCCAAUCAAACCGGGAGAUAGCUGGUUCUCCCCGAAAGCUAUUUAGGUAGCGCCUCGUGAAUUCAUCUCCGGGGGUAGAGCACUGUUUCGGCAAGGGGGUCAUCCCGACUUACCAACCCGAUGCAAACUGCGAAUACCGGAGAAUGUUAUCACGGGAGACACACGGCGGGUGCUAACGUCCGUCGUGAAGAGGGAAACAACCCAGACCGCCAGCUAAGGUCCCAAAGUCAUGGUUAAGUGGGAAACGAUGUGGGAAGGCCCAGACAGCCAGGAUGUUGGCUUAGAAGCAGCCAUCAUUUAAAGAAAGCGUAAUAGCUCACUGGUCGAGUCGGCCUGCGCGGAAGAUGUAACGGGGCUAAACCAUGCACCGAAGCUGCGGCAGCGACGCUUAUGCGUUGUUGGGUAGGGGAGCGUUCUGUAAGCCUGUGAAGGUGUGCUGUGAGGCAUGCUGGAGGUAUCAGAAGUGCGAAUGCUGACAUAAGUAACGAUAAAGCGGGUGAAAAGCCCGCUCGCCGGAAGACCAAGGGUUCCUGUCCAACGUUAAUCGGGGCAGGGUGAGUCGACCCCUAAGGCGAGGCCGAAAGGCGUAGUCGAUGGGAAACAGGUUAAUAUUCCUGUACUUGGUGUUACUGCGAAGGGGGGACGGAGAAGGCUAUGUUGGCCGGGCGACGGUUGUCCCGGUUUAAGCGUGUAGGCUGGUUUUCCAGGCAAAUCCGGAAAAUCAAGGCUGAGGCGUGAUGACGAGGCACUACGGUGCUGAAGCAACAAAUGCCCUGCUUCCAGGAAAAGCCUCUAAGCAUCAGGUAACAUCAAAUCGUACCCCAAACCGACACAGGUGGUCAGGUAGAGAAUACCAAGGCGCUUGAGAGAACUCGGGUGAAGGAACUAGGCAAAAUGGUGCCGUAACUUCGGGAGAAGGCACGCUGAUAUGUAGGUGAGGUCCCUCGCGGAUGGAGCUGAAAUCAGUCGAAGAUACCAGCUGGCUGCAACUGUUUAUUAAAAACACAGCACUGUGCAAACACGAAAGUGGACGUAUACGGUGUGACGCCUGCCCGGUGCCGGAAGGUUAAUUGAUGGGGUUAGCGGUAACGCGAAGCUCUUGAUCGAAGCCCCGGUAAACGGCGGCCGUAACUAUAACGGUCCUAAGGUAGCGAAAUUCCUUGUCGGGUAAGUUCCGACCUGCACGAAUGGCGUAAUGAUGGCCAGGCUGUCUCCACCCGAGACUCAGUGAAAUUGAACUCGCUGUGAAGAUGCAGUGUACCCGCGGCAAGACGGAAAGACCCCGUGAACCUUUACUAUAGCUUGACACUGAACAUUGAGCCUUGAUGUGUAGGAUAGGUGGGAGGCUUUGAAGUGUGGACGCCAGUCUGCAUGGAGCCGACCUUGAAAUACCACCCUUUAAUGUUUGAUGUUCUAACGUUGACCCGUAAUCCGGGUUGCGGACAGUGUCUGGUGGGUAGUUUGACUGGGGCGGUCUCCUCCUAAAGAGUAACGGAGGAGCACGAAGGUUGGCUAAUCCUGGUCGGACAUCAGGAGGUUAGUGCAAUGGCAUAAGCCAGCUUGACUGCGAGCGUGACGGCGCGAGCAGGUGCGAAAGCAGGUCAUAGUGAUCCGGUGGUUCUGAAUGGAAGGGCCAUCGCUCAACGGAUAAAAGGUACUCCGGGGAUAACAGGCUGAUACCGCCCAAGAGUUCAUAUCGACGGCGGUGUUUGGCACCUCGAUGUCGGCUCAUCACAUCCUGGGGCUGAAGUAGGUCCCAAGGGUAUGGCUGUUCGCCAUUUAAAGUGGUACGCGAGCUGGGUUUAGAACGUCGUGAGACAGUUCGGUCCCUAUCUGCCGUGGGCGCUGGAGAACUGAGGGGGGCUGCUCCUAGUACGAGAGGACCGGAGUGGACGCAUCACUGGUGUUCGGGUUGUCAUGCCAAUGGCACUGCCCGGUAGCUAAAUGCGGAAGAGAUAAGUGCUGAAAGCAUCUAAGCACGAAACUUGCCCCGAGAUGAGUUCUCCCUGACUCCUUGA